Apteryx owenii (little spotted kiwi) is the source of this 419-nucleotide long non-coding RNA. The record is from Ensembl. NCBI's taxonomy places the organism in Eukaryota, Metazoa, Chordata, Aves, Apterygiformes, Apterygidae.
CUGACCUGUUUGCCGGUGCUGACCUGUUUACUGGUCCGCUGGAAGAACGGCUGCACGUGCCGGUAUGUCUCUGACAGAGUUCCACUGCUGGAAGAAAGAAGUACUGAGAACUACCAAGCAAUUGGCAGGAAUUGUUUUAAAUCUGCAUUCCUGAGAGAGCAUAUCAUCAGGACAGAAGAUGCAAUGCACAUGAUUAAAUAGGCACUCUUCUCUCAGACAUCCUUGAAAGACAUCUGGGAAGUUUAUCGGUACGUUUUCCAUGCCUCGCGAUGUGAUUCUGUGCUGCUUCCACUGGAUUACUUUUAAAGAUGAAUCCAAAGGCAGGUUUUUGGUCCUGACUCAGCAGUGUGGCUUUGAGCGAAUCCCUCUCUUUGCACAUCUCUUACACCAAAGUGAUGCUGACACCCCACGGAGGUGAC